GACGAACGCUGGCGGCGUGCCUAAUACAUGCCAGUUGAGCGCUGAAGGUUGGUACUUGUACCAACUGGAUGAGCAGCGAACGGGUGAGUAACGCGUGGGGAAUCUGCCUUUGAGCGGGGGACAACAUUUGGAAACGAAUGCUAAUACCGCAUAAAAACUUUAAACACAAGUUUUAAGUUUGAAAGAUGCAAUUGCAUCACUCAAAGAUGAUCCCGCGUUGUAUUAGCUAGUUGGUGAGGUAAAGGCUCACCAAGGCGAUGAUACAUAGCCGACCUGAGAGGGUGAUCGGCCACAUUGGGACUGAGACACGGCCCAAACUCCUACGGGAGGCAGCAGUAGGGAAUCUUCGGCAAUGGACGAAAGUCUGACCGAGCAACGCCGCGGGAGUGAAGAAGGGUUUCGGAUCGUAAAACUCGGUUGGUAGAGAAGAACGUUGGUGAGAGUGGAAAGCUCAUCAAGUGACGGUAACUACCCAGAAAGGGACGGCUAACUACGUG
Molecule: ribosomal RNA, 497 nt
Filed under: uncultured bacterium
Lineage: Bacteria
Description: partial 16S ribosomal RNA
Rfam family: Bacterial small subunit ribosomal RNA
Source: RNAcentral